Molecule: long non-coding RNA, 3990 nt
Organism: Manis pentadactyla (Chinese pangolin)
Lineage: Eukaryota; Metazoa; Chordata; Mammalia; Pholidota; Manidae
Exons: 5
Source: RefSeq, a predicted model, not a curated record
CAUUUCUUCCUGCCUUCCUCAAACAUUCUGGCCUUUCGAGGUAAGUGCUAUUCCCAUAUGCAUUCAUCUGGAGUCUCCAGACAACAGGACCGGUUUCCUGUAGUCUGUAUAUUAUGUAUGUGUCUUAUAUAUUUUAUAUCUUUUUAUUUACUAUAAGCAAUUGGCUUACAUGAUUAAUGAGGCUGAGAAGUCCAAGAUGGGCAAUUGGCAAACUGGGGACCCAGGAGGGCUGCAGGUACAGUUCCAGUGUGAAUUCAAAGGUCUGAUGACCAGGGAGCCAAUUGGUGGGAGGUCCCGUCUGAAUCCGAGUCUGAAGGCGGGAGGGGACUGAUGUCGCAGCUCAAACACGGAGAGGCGGAAGGGAAGACUUCUCUCUUGCUCUGCCUUUUGGUCAAUGUUCUUUGCCUUCGGUGGGUUGGAGGAGGCCCACCCACAUUGGGAAGGGCAAUUUGCUUCACUAAGUGUGCAGAUUCAAACAUUGCUUUCAUCUAGGAACACCUUCACAGAAACACCCAGAAGAAUGUUUGACCAAAUAUCUGGGUGCUCUGUAGCCCAGGCAAGUCAGUACCUAUAGUUAGGCAUCACGCCAUAUUCAUUUGUCACUGUCCUCUGCCUGUCUUCUGGUCACUUCCUGUUCUCUGAAGGUUUGGAAACUCACUUCAUUUUUAUUAUCUGGGAAACUGUGGAGUUCUACUCAAAGUCUCCCCAAAACUUGGGAUGUGGGCUACAAGUGUGGUCAGAGGGUGAGAGACUUCCAGGAAGAUCGCCCCUCUGGAAGGGUGGGCUUGCAUUUCAAGGGGGGUGUGUGUGACCCAGGACCACUGCAUGUUCCUGUGUUCUGAAUCUGGAGACACUAAUCAUCUCUUCCUCUUAGGGUAAUUUAUGCACAUUUCAAAGGGUGAGAAUCCGGGAUCCUUCCCAGGGAGGAUUUAUUUAUACUAGGAAGCGACAACCUCCAUUGCCGUCACCCUGUCAAAUGUGCCAUCAUCUCUCACUGCUGAUGGUCUCCCGGUUCCUCCUACGUCACAGAAUAAUCAGUGAUAUUUUAAGAUACAAAUCAGAUCAUAUCAUUCUCUGCUCUGAAACCCCUAAAGCUUCUCAACACAUUUAGAAACAGUACCCCCCAUUUUUUAAAUCAUGGCCCGUAAGUCUCUACAUGUCUGUAUAACUUUAUGAUCCUGAAUUCCUCCAUGCUCCUUCUCUCUCAUUUUACUCCAGCCUCAUUGGUCUUGCAAUUUCUGAAACACACCAAGCUUGUGCCUGCCCCAGAGCUCCUAUCCUUGUAGCACCUUCCCUUGAAUCCUUGCUCUGUGCCCAGAUCAUCAACAGGCUUGCUCCCUCAGGACAGGGCUAAACUGGCACCUCCAUGGGCAGGACCUCUCUGUCAGCCAUACUUGUAAUUGUCCCCUGCCCUCCUCCUGCCCCCUCUAUCCCUUCACCUGCCCUAUUAUUCCUGGUAGCGUUUAUUAGUAUUUAAAAUCAGUAUCAUAGACUCAUUCCUUUGCUAGCUUAUUGUCUGUCUCUGCCAGAAAAUGGCCAUCAUAAGGGGCCUUAAAAGUUUGUCUUGUGUGUUGAUGUUUUGUGCAUUACUGACCAGCACAGCUCCUGGCACAUAAAAGGGCUCAAUUUUUUUUGAUGAAUGAAUGAGUGAAGGGCAGUAUCUGAGCCUUUGAUUCAAUAAAUCCAUCUCUUCCACAUCUUAAGUGCUUGGAGAGGGAAUGAAAAGAGGCACACUUCCAGUUUUCUACAUGAUUCAUUCUUUAUCAGACAGAUCAACACACCAGCAAGCAUACAGGGUGAAGGGUCUGUAUGGAGCUAUGGGAGACGGGGGUGCUGGGCUGGGCUGGCAUGUUGCAUGUCCCCCAACACAGCAGAAUAAGAGCCCACAGGGCACAUCAAGCAGGGGGAGCAUCUGAUGGGCUGGUGGCUGCUGCGUCACGGAGGUCAUGGCCCUGUGCUUGUUCCUCCAGUUUUCUGCUGAACCCACAUAGUUUUUGAAUAUAAUGAUGGCAGGAAGAGGGUUCUCCCCUCCUCCUGUUUACAAAAUGAGCUGGUACCCCGCUGUUAUGGCCUCUAGGAGAAGUCACUGAGCAUGACCUUCCAAUUAAAUCAUGCACCCAGCAUCUCUCAUUUCUGAUGACAUCUUUGAAGUGCUGAGACACCCCUGGGCAUGUGAUGUGAAAGAAUACUGGUCCACAGAACUCCUUCAUCCAGGGAGGAGGUUCCAGCAGGUGUGUCCUUGAGUUUAUGUGAAGAGCAGAAUGCCGCCCUCUCACCUGCUACUUCCUCCCAGCCAGGCUUCAGGACCCGCAAUUGACAGCCUUGGGGUCACGUGGAGCUGCAAACUAGAGGCGCCUUACGGUGGAUAAUGAUACGUGAGAGCAUUUACCAGAGCUCCUAUGUGCCAGGUCUGUGCCGAGGGCAGCACUUUGCAUGCACACUCACUCCUCACCCACCCUCUUUUCAUUCUGUCCCCAAGGCAGCAGGGAACAGGCUCAUGUCAAGGUCAUCAGUGACUGCCAUCUUGUGAAGGUCCAGGAAAGCUACCUCGGUUCCCUCAUGGGUUCUCUUGGCAGCGUCUGAUUCCCGUGACUACUUCCUUCUUCUUCAGCUCCUGUGUUGUUUCACUGUCCUGAUUUUCCUCCUCGCCCAGAUUGUCAUCUCUGUUUUCACCAGAUCAUUUGCUGGAGAACCCCUGGUCUGUGGCCUUCGUCCUGUCUGUCUGUUUACAUUUUUUCCUCAGAUUUAUGUCACCUCUUCAGAGAGGCCUUCCUUGCCUGAUGGGGAAACCGAGACUAAGGGAAACCCAGUAACUUGUGUGAAGCUCCUCUGCUGGGUGUCUUGCCUCAGUUAUUCUACUCUGCAGUAUGAGAAAAACUUGAGAUGUUGGCAAUCAUCCAAAUAUCCAGGCGCUGCUAUGAUUGAGCCAACAUUUCCAUCUCCUUGGUCUGCUGCUUGGAGGAGAGAGAAAUUUGGUGCUGAAGGGAGUGAAAUCCCAGAAACUGCUCCCCUCUGGGCCUGGAUACAGGUGAGUCAAGGUUGCUAACUCUUUCUUUUUUCUUCCUAAGUUUAUAAUUUUCUCUUUUUUCCUACUGUGCUUUAAGAGUGAAAGCUUCAGUCUGCUUGCUCCUGAAAGGAAACUGGUGGUGGACUAUGAUUUGACUGAUGUGUUCACACAUUUGUUUGCAGCCAGUUUGUCUCCGUAUCCCAGCUUCUGCUAUAGUUCUUGGGACAUGAUAGGGGCUGAGAGAACAUUAGCUGGAUGAACGACUGAAUUUACUGGAAGCAGAGUCCUGAGCCUGCCCACUUGGUUGAAUAAAAGACCAGGUGGACUGUAGACUGAUUACCAGGUAACCAAUGUCCAAGCGAGGAGAUCUCUCCAAUAAGAUUGCUGCUUGGGUAGCUCGAAUCCACUCAUGUAUUCAGGUAUUCAUAUACUCGCUUAUUCAUCCAGCACAUGUUUAUCUGGGGUAUUUAGGGACGUGUGGCACAGUGUCAUGAACUUCCAUCUAGUUGAAGAAAUGUACCUUAGACAAGUGAACCCAUGACGACAAACUGACAAGUAGUAGGAAAGAGAGGGCGGGAGGAAUGCAGUGUAGACUGGGUUUAAGGAUUGGCCUGUGGAGGGACAGGGUGGAGCUUGGCACUCGGUUGGUCACCCUGCAGUCCUGCAAUGCUUGACACACUUCUCUAGUGGGAAGGGCCAGGGAGCACGCUAAUCACCCGUUCUUACUGCCGUAGAGGCCCUGAGUUCUUAGCGCGAACCACUCUCCUCCGUGAGCAUGUGGUCUGUUCGCCAGCGCGCUCUGUGGGCGGAGCCAGCACCAGAUGCAAGUGUGCUUUCUGACAUCAUUAAAAUUUUAGCUGCUGAGACUUUGGUUCCAAAGAGGCAAUAAACUAAAUAUUUCAGAGAGCCCAGAACUGAAAUGGACAGAUGGACCCAAAAUAGUCUACUUUGUAAUUAUUCAAAUUAGCAUAAUUUCCACUUCA